Drosophila montana is the source of this 2468-nucleotide RNA transcript. It is a transcript of the gene named solute carrier family 22 member 2-like, with no coding region annotated. The record is from RefSeq and is a predicted model, not a curated record. The transcript is spliced from 8 exons. NCBI's taxonomy places the organism in Eukaryota, Metazoa, Arthropoda, Insecta, Diptera, Drosophilidae.
CAUUAAUCUUAUUUUACACACACUGACAGCUACCUGAAAAAUCUGUCAAACCUAAAUUAUUAAAUUUGUUUUUUCAUGAAAUAGUGCAGCGGUACAUUAAGAGCGCUGCCUAACUAGAAGCGAGUUCUGGGAAGGUUCUAUUCUGGACAGAGGUGUAUGGUGAAUUGAAUCUAGCACGUGCUUGAAUUAUAUGUAAAUAACACAAUGUUGGAGGUGGACAAAAUGUUGGAAAAAUGCGGCGAUUUCAAUCGGCAGCAGCUAAUCAUGCUGCUCCUCUGUUCUCUGAUCAAUUUACUAUCAGCCAUGCAUGUCGUAUCACACUGGAUAAUAAUUAUUGUGCCAAAGCAUUGGUGUGCUGAUGGGCUAGACUCGGGGCCACCACCACCAAAUAUAGACGAAUGCAAGCCAUUCUACUUUAAUUCAAGCAACUCUGGCUCCUGCAAUAAGUACCACUAUGAGUCAUACAUGGGCUAUCAGGGUUUUGUCAGCGAAAUGAACUGGAUAUGUGAUGAAAAGUGGAAACUUAGGAAGGGAAAGUACAUAUUCUUGGCGGGCUGCGUGAUAGGCAGUCUAAUUAUGGGCUAUUUGGCAGAUAUACUUGGUCGGGUGCCCAUUCUAGUUUUUGCCAAUGUCAUUACCGUAUUGGGAAACUUUUUGACAAUCUUUGACAUGAGUCUGGAACUUUUUUGUAUAUUUCAAUUUAUUACCGGUUUCGUCGUUAACAGCAACUUUUUGAUUAUUCGCAUUCUUAUUCUGGAAUAUAUGCGUCCUUCUUUGCGCACCGUUUGCCUGAACAUCUGUUACGAAUUCUCUAUCUGUUUGGGCCUGGUAAUUUCACCUUGGAUUGCGAUCCUCAUGGGUAGUUGGCGUCGUUUCAUGCUUCUCGAUGCGCUGCCAAUAAUUGUGGUGCCGUUUUUCUAUUAUUUUGUGCCGGAGAGCGUACAAUGGCUGAUCUCAAGGCAGAAAUAUGACAAGGCUAUAGAGUCCCUGAGACGUGUGGCCAAGAUUAAUGGCCGCCAAAUUGAUGACAGCGAUUUUGAGGAAUUCAUUGAGGACUGCAAAUUAUGUCAGCAAAAUACGAAGACCAACCCAAAUCUGCUGCACCUCUUCAGAACGCCGCGCCUACGCCGCACCUUUCUUAUAAUAAUUUUUGAAUUCUUGGUAUUUUCCUUCUACGCCAAUGUCGUCUUUCAUUAUAUGGAUAUCCCUGGGAUUUCGCCAUUUGUAAGGUUCUCACAGGCUGCAACUCGUAAUCUGCCUGCUAGCUUGGCAGCAAUUAUCUUGCAAGAUCGCAUCGGACGCAAGGCGUUGGCUUUUACAAUAUUGCUCCUCAUGUGCAUUUUCAUGUUGGUAACGGGCGUUGUCCUCUCAUCCGCUGCUAACCGCUCCCCCAGAGUACUGAUUACGUUUUAUAUUAUUGGGGGCAUUUUUAACAAACUUGGCGUCAACUCAAAUAUUCAGCACAGCUUGGAGCUAAUUCCAACAUGUGUGCGUGGUCAGGCAUUGGGUGCUUUUUGUACCAUAAGCUAUGCGGGAUUAUUAUACGAAGAUUUCACGAACAUACGUAAAAUCUUCUUGCUGCUGCCGGAAAUCAUUCUAGGCGUGCUCACUUUGCUGGGUGCCGGAUUGUUCUUACUGCUGUCGGAGACACUGAAUCGCACGCUGCCCUGUUCACUGGAGGAUGGCGAGAAGCUUGGCAUUGACGAGCAUUGGUACACAUUUAGCUGCAUGGAGAAGCGCAAGCAGCCGGAAGAGCUUGAUAGCUCGUUGGCACCGCGAAAUGGGAUAUAAGAAGGCAAUUUCCUGUAAUACCUAUCAAAUCUAAAUCAUAACAUUUUUUUUUCACGAAACUGAGACUAAGCGGCAACUCAAAGCGUUCGAUGACUGUAAUAAUUAAGUGAAUAAGCAAAUUAAACAAAAUGAGAAGCGAUGCAAGUGCCACAAGUGCAGCGGUACACUGUGAAGUUCUAGUCUCUGUUCUUGUCAAAGAUACACAUCUUCUAAAUGAGAACUUGACCAUGCAUUACGAAUCUCAAGCGAUAAUCAAUUUUUUGGUAUGCAUAAGGACCAUAUUUAUUACAUGGCGUAUACUUAACGCCCGUCAAUAACACCCAGGUGUGCUGAUGGGCUAGACUCGGGGCCACCACCACCAAAUAUAGGCGAAUGCAAGCCAUUCUACUCGAAUUCAAGCAACUCUGGCACCUGCAAUAAGUACCACUAUGAGUCAUACAUGGGCUAUCAAAACUUUGCCAGCGAAACGAACUGGAUAUGAGAUAAGGCGUGAAAACAACCUGGAAGACUCUGCGCUCCGUGUUAAGCACUCUUGUUCUGGGCUAUAUGGGGGGGACAGGGUGCGUCGGCUGCCCGCUCUUAAUUUGGACAUUUCUAUUAUGGGCAACGUUUUGACAAUCGUUGGUAUAAGUCUGUUCACUGUUCAAUCGAUUACAUGAAAUAAAAAUUAAAACCAU